This 465-nucleotide ribosomal RNA is filed under the name uncultured bacterium. RNAcentral describes it as "partial 16S ribosomal RNA". It matches the Rfam family "Bacterial small subunit ribosomal RNA", at positions 28 to 507 of the family's 1533-position model. The record is from RNAcentral.
GACGAACGCUGGCGGCGUGCCUAACACAUGCAAGUCGAACGGAAACGCCCCUUCUGGGGUACCCCAGUUGCGUACCGGGGGGUAACACGUGCGUAACCUGCCCUUAACUUCCGGAUAACGGUACUAAACUGGGGCCAAUUCCGGAUAGGAAACCUUUCUCCCUGGUGGGUGUGCGCAAGUUUCGUUGGCUUUGGGUUGGCAUGCGGCCCUGCAGCUUGUUGGUGGGGUAGUGGCUUACCAAGGCUUUGGCGGGUAGCCGGCCCGGGAGGGCGACCAGCCACAUUGGGACUGAGAUACGGCCCAGACUCCGACGGGAGGCAGAAGUGGGGAAGAUUGCACAAGGGGCGGAAGCCUGAUGCAGAAACGCCGCGUGCGGGAGGACGGCCUUCGGGUUGGAAACCGAUUUCAGCAGGGGCGAAGCUUGUGGUGACGGUACCUGCAGAAGAAGCACCGGCUAACUACGUG